This 305-nucleotide ribosomal RNA is filed under the name uncultured bacterium. Its description in RNAcentral is "bacterial SSU rRNA". It matches the Rfam family "Bacterial small subunit ribosomal RNA", at positions 335 to 637 of the family's 1533-position model. The record is from RNAcentral.
UGCCCUACGGGAGGCAGCAGUGAGGAAUAUUGGUCAAUGGUCGGGAGACUGAACCAGCCAAGCCGCGUGAGGGAGGAAGGUACAGAGUAUCGUAAACCUCUUUUGUCAGGGGACAAAGACUGGGACGCGUCCCCGGAUGAGUGUACCUGAAGAAAAAGCAUCGGCUAACUCCGUGCCAGCAGCCGCGGUAAUACGGAGGAUCCGAGCGUUAUCCGGAUUUAUUGGGUUUAAAGGGAGCGUAGAUGGGUUGUUAAGUCAGUUGUGAAAGUUUGCGGCUCAACCGUAAAAUUGCAGUUGAAACUGGC